UGCAACUGCCGCGGAUCAAUCUGGCGAUCGAUGCUCUGUCGCGGGCCUAUGACUAUGUCGUGCUCGAUGCGGGCACCGCGUCGGAUCUGCCGGCGACCGUCAUCGCCGCGCAGGCGCAUGCGGUUAUCAUUCCCGAUCCCGCGAUCACCGCGGCUGCACGCGAGAUGAUGAAGACUCAGCUUCUUGAAUCGGGCUUUGCCGGCGUGACCAUUCUGACCACAUCACUGAACCCAAU
RNAcentral lists this unclassified non-coding RNA (235 nucleotides) under Hevea brasiliensis (rubber tree). The record is from RNAcentral. Lineage: Eukaryota; Viridiplantae; Streptophyta; Magnoliopsida; Malpighiales; Euphorbiaceae.